UACAGAGGUCCCGAGCGUUGUUCGGAUUCAUUGGGCGUAAAGGGUGCGUAGGCGGCGGGGCAAGUCAGAUGUGAAAUCCUGGGGCUCAACCUCAGAACUGCAUUGGAUACUGCCUUGCUUGAGUACUGGAGAGGGAACUGGAAUUUACGGUGUAGCAGUGAAAUGCGUAGAGAUCGUAAGGAAGGCCAGUGGCGAAGGCGAGUCCCUGGACAGUUUACUGACGCUGAGGCACGAAGGCCAGGGGAGCAAACGGG
This 254-nucleotide ribosomal RNA is filed under the name uncultured bacterium. RNAcentral's name for it is "partial 16S ribosomal RNA". It matches the Rfam family "Bacterial small subunit ribosomal RNA", at positions 524 to 776 of the family's 1533-position model. The record is from RNAcentral.